Molecule: long non-coding RNA, 4148 nt
Organism: Mizuhopecten yessoensis (Yesso scallop)
Lineage: Eukaryota; Metazoa; Mollusca; Bivalvia; Pectinida; Pectinidae
Exons: 2
Source: RefSeq, a predicted model, not a curated record
AAAAAUGAAUUUCCUUGACCCACAAUUAUGGUCACAGGGGUCAAAUAUGUAAAUAAACCUCAGAGUUUCUGAUACAUCAAGAGGCGUGGUGGCAGGGUAUAUGGUCAGUAGCUUGCUUGAUUGGAAUACGACAAAAGUGGAUACAAAUUAACCUUGACAUCUCCUCAUUGGCAUAGGGCUCAAAUACGAUCAAACACUUAAACGGCUAGUUCUUGAAGAAACAAAACCCAAAGUUAUGUAUGAUCAAUAUCAUGCCUGCAUAGAGUUCUAAAAUGUUUUUCGAAAGAUCAAAUCUGCCAAAACACUCAAAUGAAUUCUUCUAAGAAACAUGGAAGCCUAGAGCCAGGAUACAUAGCAUCUAGUGUGUAGUACUACCAAGUUGGAAAGGGAAGUUACCGGUUUCAAAUAAGUAAGGCAUUCAGCUCUUUGUGAAGAUGGGACAAGUCAGGAGUCAUAAUAAGUGGCUAAUUAUUUUAUUGCUUCAAAGCAGGAAUGAAUCACCUUGACCUUUGGACAAGGUCACAUGGGUCAAAUUUGUUUAAACACUCAAACACAUUCUUUUGAAAAUGAAUGAAAAGGCCUAAAGUCAUGAUAUUGGGCUAUAGCUUGCUGGCAUGGCGUGAGACAUUCCAGUUACUUGUGUUACUCAUACAGUUGUCGGUGUUUUGGCGGCCUUGAGAUACGAAGUCUGAUAUUGUUGCGAUAAUGUCGGUAUCAAAAGACCAGUGGGCUGCGACACCAGUAGUUGGGGUUCUCCAGGCUGCUAUCAUAACGUUGUCUACUACCACAUGACCAGCAUGUCGUCUUUCCAGGGCCCGCAAGCAUGGAUUUUGUGCUCAAGCCUAAUGUCUUGUUCCAGCUAUGAAUUAAUAAAAAAUUGAAAGAGACUUAAAACCGGAUACUGUUUCAAGGUUUACAUUUGACCUUUUGAUCGGUUGACAUGAUUUAAGCGAGUAACAAGUAAGUUGGUCUGAGCACAAAAUCCAUGAGCAGGAGAACGGUUUCAUGAAUAUGGGCCCUGCUUUGUAAUCUCCCGUCUCCGUCUCUGGUUAUAUUUUGGCCGAACAUUUUAUUUCACAACGCUUUUCUUUUGUAUACGUCAAUAAAAGUUACUUUCCUGUUAAAAUGUUUUCCUCUAUACUCACAUAAUGACAAUUAUUGAUUGCGGGCCUUUUUAUGGAGUUAAAACUUUGUCAACUUUCCGAUUUUGAAUUUUCCGUUUCUUGACAAUACAAUCCUAGCUUCCCCUACUUGUUCGGUACCAAGAGCCUGCUACGCAUAUCAUGACUUCGUGAUAUAUGCCGGAUGCUGACGGACAAAGACAGGGCUUCCACUUUGUUAUCACUUCCCGAGUUCUCGAAGUGAAGACGUGACAUUACUGAUGUCGUCGUUGAAGCAGAACCUUCCGGAACACCUGGUCUUAUUCACUUUGUAUUUUUUUCAAGAGUAUCCAUGAACAUUUUUCAUUUGUUCAUAUUUUGCCAAAGUUUUAUUGAUUUUGAGGUCGACUUACGGUUUUGCUAACAAUUCAGUUCUCUCGAUUUUGUUUCGUUUUUGUUUUAAAUAUAGGUGUCCCUAGAAACGAAUCGUUGUUUUGUUUUUGAUUUAAAUAUAGGUGUCCCUAGAAACGAAUCGUUGAGGCGGUACAUAGCCUUAUUUUGUAUAUAACUUUUUGCGGUAGGAUAAUACCAGAGAUAGAACACAGCAUUAACGUUGGCCUGUAUAUGUAUAAUGCCCGGGAUUGUAUGUGUCGUUGGCAUGUUGACAGAAUACUCGGCUCACAACAGCAGACAGUAAUUGUGGUCAGCGUCGCUGUUGUUUUGGUCUGGCCAUGAUUAAUUAUCUGGCACGGCUUUGUUUCUUUAGAUAAUUGUAUAUUCUGUCGUUAAUGCUGACCACUGUGAUGAGAAAUUGCCUUCUGUAGCAGUUGUUACUGGUCACUCUCAAUGGACAGACUGUUUCUGUUUGGAUUCUUCAAAAACGGACCCAAAACUCGUAGUGUUAUUACCAACUCAUAUCAGUUAUAACUGAGUGAUCACAGAAAAUGCAUCGGAGACCGACAGUGGAUAACAUUCAUUAAGCACUGAUCUGCUUUUAGUUUGCAUUCAUAAGCAAUAUGAAUGCGAACUGGACAAAGACAAAUUCAAGAAACGUGCUUGCUCUUCAUGUUGAAUUUAUUUUUCCAACUGACAUUAAUGCAUAUGAAAUUGCUUAUGAAUGCCAACUGAUAGCAUUUCAAUAUUUGUAUUUACCAUUUUCGAAAUCUGUUUAAUCUCAUAGAAAAUUCCAUUUCACGUAUUAUUGUUCAGCAUUAAGAUCAAAUAAUGUAUUUAUGGUAUGCCUUUUUUAAUGAAUAGAAUAGCCAUCUCUCCAAGAAGAGUCAGCGGUGCUCAUGGCAUUCAUAGCAUACAUAAAUGCCAUAAGAAUGUACGUAUCUGAAAUGUAUACGUUGUAUAUAUGAAUGGCAUGAAAAGUUACAUUAUACAAACACAAAAAAUCAGUCAGGAUAGUGUAAAUAUAUUUAGAAUUAUAAAGGUAUGAUGCCUCCUUAAGUUGUUGUUCCCCCAAUGUUUUUCUUUAUUAGAUCGACCAGAUCAUAACAGCUUCCAUUUGUACCUUGAAGCCAAGUUGUUUUGAUUUUUAUGAAGAGGUAGAUGAAACUAACUUACGGAAUUCCUGACGAUACAAAGGCUCCCGGACAGAAGGCAUCCAUAGUGUUAUUAUUGUCCACAGUACCUCCCACAUAAUUUCCAGCUUUUUGUUUUCAUUAUGCAUGCUGUGUUUACAUCAUUGAUCAUAAUAGAUCGGAAAGUCUGGUAUGAACUUGCUCAGAUCCGCGGAAUGCUGAUCCAAUACUCUACAGUGACCUGAUCCUAUACUCUACAGUGACCUGAUCCUAUACUCUACAGUGACUUGAUCCUACACUCUACAGUGGUUUGAUCCUAUACUCUUUGUUUGUUGAUGGUCACCGGGGCUUAAUAUCCGAGGUUCUGAUUUUUGGGUUUAAUAUUUUCAGUUCGAUAUGAUUGUAUGGGCUAUCUUUAUUCUCCUGUUGUACAGUUAAAUAAUAAAUGUAAACUUCAUCUGAUUUACAACAACUGUGGAACAUUUUUUUUAUCUUAAACAUCAUGGUUGGCCUAGAUGGGAAAAAGCAGAUGGGAGGAAACCAGAGGACCCGGAGAUAAACCCACGUAGUCGGGCAGGUGACCAAAUAUCUUGUCACGUCCAAUUGGAGAAUCGAAACCUGGCCGUCUUAAAGGCGAGUGCGCUAUCUACUGGAGCACCCGAUAUAGUAUUGGUUAAACAUCACUCAACACCAAUCGGGAACCGUCGGCACUUUCCGUAAACGAGAAAAUAGUAUUUUCUCGUUUACGGAAAGUACCGACGGUUCCUGAUUGCAUCAGGAUAGGCCUAUCUCACGUGAUAAUUCCUAAAGCCUGAUUUAUCUUACAAUAACCCUAUUUAACAGACACGAUCUGAUUCGACCAAAUGACUUCAGUCCUCAUUUAGGUCAAUAGCGACAGGUUUCACUAUAAAAUCACAUGUCUGUUGUCUUUCUGCUAUUUUAUCAAACAUCCGGGAAGAUGUCAAUUUGUGUGUCACGGGGCACUGUUUCAAUCCGAUCUAAGGUUACAAUUUGUCUUAGCGAGAAUUGAUCAACACAUGACGAUCUUUGUUUCAAAUAAACAAGACACUUGCACGUUAAAGAGGCUUAACGAUUUAUUUUCAAAAUUGAUUUCAGUGAAAAGCAACAGUUUGGCAAUGAUAUGGAAUACACGCUUUAUACUAUCGUGCUGAUUUUUCUCAUGAGAACAAAGGGUAAAUGUGAAUGGUUAUAAGUUUGUAAAGGAAUGGUCGAACCUGCAAAGCCGGUCGUUUUAACAGUUUAUGUACAGGUCUUCGCUAGAGCAAGUUCGACCAUCUAUGAAAAAAAUAUGCAAAUGUGCCUUUUUCUGUCAUAUGUUUCUUAAAUUUCGGGGAAGAGUCAUGGGUCUUCCCGCCAAAUACCAAAUCAAUGUGAAGUUAUAUUCAUCUGUGUUCAUUGCGAAUUCAAUGGAUACAGCAUAACGAGACAAAUUCGACAUACAUGUAUUGUUUGUCUAUGAUAUUCCACAAAAUAUUUAAUUGGUUUGUUAUUGUCUUGACAG